This 490-nucleotide ribosomal RNA is filed under the name uncultured bacterium. RNAcentral describes it as "partial 16S ribosomal RNA". It matches the Rfam family "Bacterial small subunit ribosomal RNA", at positions 30 to 507 of the family's 1533-position model. The record is from RNAcentral.
AUUGAACGCUGGCGGCAGGCCUAACACAUGCAAGUCGAAUGGUAACAGGAAACAGCUUGCUGUUUCGCUGACGAGUGGCGGACGGGUGAGUAAUGUCUGGGAAACUGCCUGAUGGAGGGGGAUAACUACUGGAAACGGUAGCUAAUACCGCAUAACGUCGCAAGACCAAAGAGGGGGACCUUCGGGCCUCUUGCCAUCAGAUGUGCCCAGAUGGGAUUAGCUAGUAGGUGGGGUAACGGCUCACCUAGGCGACGAUCCCUAGCUGGUCUGAGAGGAUGACCAGCCACACUGGGACUGAGACACGGUCCAGACUCCUACGGGAGGCAGCAGUGGGGAAUAUUGCACAAUGGGCGCAAGCCUGAUGCAGCCAUGCCGCGUGUAUGAAGAAGGCCUUCGGGUUUUAAAGUACUUUCAGCGGGGAGGAAGGGAGUAAAGUUAAUACCUUUGCUCAUUGACGUUACCCGCAGAAGAAGCACCGGCUAACUCCGUG